Molecule: ribosomal RNA, 495 nt
Filed under: uncultured bacterium
Lineage: Bacteria
Description: bacterial SSU rRNA
Rfam family: Bacterial small subunit ribosomal RNA
Source: RNAcentral
GUAAACGAUGGAUACUCGCUGUCGGCGAUAGACAGUCGGCGGCCAAGCGAAAGCAUUAAGUAUCCCACCUGGGGAGUACGCCGGCAACGGUGAAACUCAAAGGAAUUGACGGGGGCCCGCACAAGCGGAGGAACAUGUGGUUUAAUUCGAUGAUACGCGAGGAACCUUACCCGGGCUUGAACUGGAACAGACGAAUUUGGAGACAGAUUUUCUUAGCAAUAAGAUGUUUCAGAGGUGCUGCAUGGUUGUCGUCAGCUCGUGCCGUGAGGUGUCGGCUUAAGUGCCAUAACGAGCGCAACCCUUGCUGUCAGUUGCCAUCAGGUAAAGCUGGGCACUCUGGCGGGACUGCCAUCGUAAGAUGUGAGGAAGGUGGGGAUGACGUCAAAUCAGCACGGCCCUUAUGUCCGGGGCUACACACGUGUUACAAUGGGGGGUACAGCAGGCAGCUACCGCGCGAGCGGAUGCCAAUCCUUUAAACCCCUUCUCAGUUCGGAU